RNAcentral lists this ribosomal RNA (412 nucleotides) under uncultured bacterium. RNAcentral's name for it is "bacterial SSU rRNA". It matches the Rfam family "Bacterial small subunit ribosomal RNA", at positions 28 to 408 of the family's 1533-position model. The record is from RNAcentral.
GACGAACGCUGGCGGCGUGCCUAAUACAUGCAAGUCGAACGCACUUUCGUUAGAUUGAAGAAGCUUGCUUCUGAUUGAUAACAUUUGAGUGAGUGGCGGACGGGUGAGUAACACGUGGGUAACCUGCCCUAAAGUGGGGGAUAACAUUUGGAAACAGAUGCUAAUACCGCAUAAAACCUAGCACCGCAUGGUGCAAGGUUGAAAGAUGGUUUCGGCUAUCACUUUAGGAUGGACCCGCGGUGCAUUAGUUAGUUGGUGAGGUAAAGGCUCACCAAGACCGUGAUGCAUAGCCGACCUGAGAGGGUAAUCGGCCACACUGGGACUGAGACACGGCCCAGACUCCUACGGGAGCAGCAGUGAGGAAUAUUGGGCAAUGCUCGAAAGAGUAGACCCAGCAACGCCGCGUGGAGGA